Molecule: unclassified non-coding RNA, 510 nt
Filed under: Hevea brasiliensis (rubber tree)
Lineage: Eukaryota; Viridiplantae; Streptophyta; Magnoliopsida; Malpighiales; Euphorbiaceae
Source: RNAcentral
UGCUUUCCCAACAACUCCCAUUAAAAUUCUGGUAAUCACCAUCCAAAUUGUGCGGAAAUUUUCCAUGAUUUUGCCCAGAAGACCUGCCAGAAUUCCCCUUUUCCACAACCUGAAUAUUUCCUACAACAUUUCCAGAUUUCCUGUGCUUUCCCUAAAACCCCAAUUAGUGUUUAAGCCGUGUCCAUUUGGUUUUUGCACUAAUUCAAUAGGGUUUUGGCUCUCAUCGAAAGCACCAUUAGGGUUUUGGAAAUGCUCAUCAGAAUUAUCCAAGUGAUAUCCAACAGAGUUCUGAAACUCUGAUCUAUCAACUGCGGUGCUAAGAUUUUUUGAUAGCGCUAUGGUUUUGAUCGAAUCAGACGAUUUACUCGAAGAGCGUACCUUGGAUAGAACCGUAAGGGAAUUGNUUAAUAAACACAAGGGAGCCUCUUCUCUUGGACAUUGAUCCCUGAACCCGUGCAGCUUCAAAUGGAGAAAGAGCAAGAGGGAAGCGUCGGUCGCCAACGGUGGCUC